Molecule: ribosomal RNA, 347 nt
Filed under: uncultured bacterium
Lineage: Bacteria
Description: bacterial SSU rRNA
Rfam family: Bacterial small subunit ribosomal RNA
Source: RNAcentral
AGAGUUUGAUCAUGGCUCAGGAUGAACGCUAGCUACAGGCUUAACACAUGCAAGUCGAGGGGCAGCAUGUUGGUUGCUUGCAACCAAUGAUGGCGACCGGCGCACGGGUGAGUAACGCGUAUCCAACCUACCCUUGUCCAUCGGAUAACCCGUCGAAAGGCGGCCUAACACGAUAUGCGGUUCUCAGCAGGCAUCUAACGAGAACGAAAUGUGAAGGAGAAGGAUGGGGAUGCGUCUGAUUAGCUUGUUGGCGGGUAACGGCCACCAAGGCGACGAUCGAGUAGGGGUUCUGAGAGGAAGGUCCCCCANAUUGGAACUGAGACACGGUCCAAACUCCUACGGGAGCA